GGAGUCUGGGCCGUAUCUCAGUCCCAAUGUGGCCGAUCACCCUCUCAGGCCGGCUACCGAUCGUCGCCUUGGUGGGCCGUUACCCCGCCAACAACCUAAUCAGACGCAUCCCCAUCCUAUAGCGGUAAACCUUUGGUAUUCUUCAGAUGUCCUCUAAAUACAACAUAGAGCAUUAAUCCGACUUUCGCCGGGCUAUUCUCUACUAUAGGGAAGGUUGGAUACGCGUUACUCACCCGUGCGCCGGUCGCCAGCAUCAAAAGCAAGCUUUCGAUCUGCUGCCCCUCGACUUGCAUGUGUUAAGCCUGUAGCUAGCGUUCAUC
Molecule: ribosomal RNA, 320 nt
Filed under: Xylanibacter ruminicola
Lineage: Bacteria; Pseudomonadati; Bacteroidota; Bacteroidia; Bacteroidales; Prevotellaceae
Description: Prevotella ruminicola partial 16S ribosomal RNA
Source: RNAcentral